CCUACACGACCGUACCGCAAACCGACACUGGUGCGCGAGAUGAGUAUUCUAAGGCGCUUGAGAGAACUCAGGAGAAGGAACUCGGCAAAUUGACACCGUAACUUCGGAAGAAGGUGUGCCUUUAGUAGGUGAAGUCCCUCGCGGAUGGAGCCCAAUGAGGUUGCAAAAAAUCGGUGGCUGCGACUGUUUAUUAAAAACACAGCACUCUGCAAACACGAAAGUGGACGUAUAGGGUGUGACGCCUGCCCGGUGCUGGAAGAUUAAAUGAUGGGGUGCAAGCUCUUGAUUGAAGUCCCAGUAAACGGCGGCCGUAACGAUAACGGUCCUAAGGUAGCGAAAUUCCUUGUCGGGUAAGUUCCGACCUGCACGAAUGGCGUAACGAUGGCCACACUGUCUCCUCCUGAGACUCAGCGAAGUUGAAAUGUUUGUGAUGAUGCAAUCUCCCCGCGGAAAGACGGAAAGACCCCAUGAACCUUUACUGUAGCUUUGUAUUGGACUUUGAACAGAUCUGUGUAGGAUAGGUGGGAGGCUUUGAAGCAGGGUCGCUAGAUCUUGUGGAGCCAACGUUGAAAUACCACCCUGGUGUGUUUGAGGUUCUAACCUAGGCCCGUAAUCCGGGUUGGGGACAGUGCAUGGUAGGCAGUUUGACUGGGGCGGUCUCCUCCCAAAGUGUAACGGAGGAGUUCGAAGGUACGCUAGUUACGGUCGGACAUCGUGACGAUAGUGCAAUGGCAUAAGCGUGCUUAACUGCGAGACUGACAAGUCGAGCAGAUGCGAAAGCAGGACAUAGUGAUCCGGUGGUUCUGUAUGGAAGGGCCAUCGCUCAACGGAUAAAAGGUACUCUGGGGAUAACAGGCUGAUACCGCCCAAGAGUUCAUAUCGACGGCGGUGUUUGGCACCUCGAUGUCGGCUCAUCUCAUCCUGGGGCUGUAGCCGGUCCCAAGGGUAUGGCUGUUCGCCAUUUAAAGAGGUACGUGAGCUGGGUUUAAAACGUCGUGAGACAGUUUGGUCCCUAUCUUCCGUGGGCGCUGCAGAUUUGAGGAAGCCUGCUCCUAGUACGAGAGGACCGGAGUGGACGCACCUCUGGUGUAUCGGUUGUCACGCCAGUGGCAUUGCCGAGUAGCUAUGUGCGGAAGAGAUAACCGCUGAAAGCAUCUAAGCGGGAAACUCGUUUCAAGAUGAGAUCUGCCGGGGCCUUGAGCCCCCUGAAGAGUCGUUCAAGACCAGGACGUUGAUAGGUCGGGUGUGGAAGCGCAGUAAUGCGUUAAGCUAACCGAUACUAAUUGCUCGUGCGGCUUGACCCU
This 1304-nucleotide ribosomal RNA is filed under the name metagenome. RNAcentral describes it as "bacterial LSU rRNA". It matches the Rfam family "Bacterial large subunit ribosomal RNA", at positions 1633 to 2925 of the family's 2925-position model. The record is from RNAcentral.